GAUGAACGCUGGCGGCGUGCCUAAUACAUGCAAGUCGAGCGAACAGACGAGGAGCUUGCUCCUCUGGCGUUAGCGGCGGACGGGUGAGUAACACGUGGAUAACCUACCUAUAAGACUGGGAUAACUUCGGGAAACCGGAGCUAAUACCGGAUAAUAUAUUGAACCGCAUGGUUCAAUAGUGAAAGACGGUUUUGCUGUCACUUAUAGAUGGAUCCGCGCCGCAUUAGCUAGUUGGUAAGGUAACGGCUUACCAAGGCAACGAUGCGUAGCCGACCUGAGAGGGUGAUCGGCCACACUGGAACUGAGACACGGUCCAGACUCCUACGGGAGGCAGCAGUAGGGAAUCUUCCGCAAAGGGCGAAAGCCUGACGGAGCAACGCCGCGUGAGUGAUGAAGGUCUUCGGAUCGUAAAACUCUGUUAUUAGGGAAGAACAAAUGUGUAAGUAACUAUGCACGUCUUGACGGUACCUAAUCAGAAAGCCACGGCUAACUACGUG
Molecule: ribosomal RNA, 497 nt
Filed under: uncultured bacterium
Lineage: Bacteria
Description: partial 16S ribosomal RNA
Rfam family: Bacterial small subunit ribosomal RNA
Source: RNAcentral